AUCCGUAGGUCAUGCUCUUCAGCAAUUUUUUCAAUCUCAUUGUACUCUGUAUAUUCUUCAUCAACAGAGUACAAUGAGAUUGAAAAAAUUGCUGAAGAGCAUAA
This 104-nucleotide microRNA precursor is filed under the name Prunus dulcis (almond). RNAcentral describes it as "sRNA ncRNA". Lineage: Eukaryota; Viridiplantae; Streptophyta; Magnoliopsida; Rosales; Rosaceae. The record is from RNAcentral.